RNAcentral lists this long non-coding RNA (211 nucleotides) under Mytilus galloprovincialis (Mediterranean mussel). Lineage: Eukaryota; Metazoa; Mollusca; Bivalvia; Mytilida; Mytilidae. The record is from RNAcentral.
UUCCUGGCAGAAAAACUAAGUCCAUUUAUAAGUAAAAUACGGAAAAAAUGGAAUUUUAUUUUUACAAAAUUUACUUCUGCAUACUAUCUUAUGAACAUAAACAAGCUUCUGUCCAAGUUUGGUAGAAAUCCAGUUUAGUUUAAGAAAGUUAUUAAAAUUUCAAAAACUUUAACCACAGAGUGAAUAUUUGUUGACGCCGCCGACGACGCCG